UAGAACAUUCUCUUCUUUUUCCUGGUUAAAAUUUUAAGAUAGCAUGCAGAACAAACGAUUCAACAAUUAGCAAAUUUUCUGUUUUUAAGAGUCCAAUAAGUGCAUUAGGUCUCGAUUAUUCUAGAUUUGCAUCAUGUAGGAUUCAUUAAAAGUGGAAGAGCUCAUCUUCAUAUCUAGAGCUCGAACCCGAAACAUCUGGUUAAGGAUGGAGGGAUCUUACACAAUAUAUUGUUGCUAAUUCUAUUUUCAACUUAUUUUUUCAUUACUUCAUACAAUAAAAAUCCUACUAUUAUAUUCUUCAUCAAGAAUAGGGUCUAUUUUCUGUUUCUAAUAUAAAAUAGAAGUGUUACAUUGAUAUGUAUACGUACUACAUCGAGAUUAGAGGCAAAUUUCAGGAUUUGAAUUUUAUGAGUUUCAUAAGAAUAGGAUGGCAGCAAGCACAAAACAAAAGGAAGCUGAGUAACAUUAAUCAACUGACACCAAUUCUACUCUUAAGAGUGAAAAACAUGUUAUGACUGCAUAUCCUUCUCUUGAAGAUGUAAUUAGUUAUCUGGUUCCAUUCCACAUGACUAAAAACCCCUUUCAACAAUAGAACAUUGGAGAGGUAAUGAAAAACAAAAAGAGCUUCAAAAAGAUCUAAAAAGAAACUGAAUAUCAGAAAUAUUUAAUAGAAGGCUGCAUAUGUACUUACGUGUGAAUGUGCAAUGUUGAGGCUGGCAAAAAAAGCUCAAUAACCUGCAUAUCAUCUUUGUUACUUCAUUCUCCUUAGUUCCCAAUGAUCAUUCCUCCCUACCGAGCAAAGUUGUACAAACUUGAUUCCAAAAAUAAGAGCAAAAGUCACAAAAAUAAGGACGACACUUCCUGCAAUUAAACGGUAUAAAGACAGUGAAAAGGAAAAUCUAACUUAUAUCUCAAGUGUGUCAAUUAAAUCUAAUUUGAGUAGACUAACCUUUUACGGCUUUUUUGCUGGUGUGGGUGGUUGAUCUUUCGGCCUUGUGCUUGAAGAGUCAGAUGCAAUAACUGCUUUCUCCAUGUCUACCUCACUUGUGCUUAGAGGCUUCAGUUUUUUGGCGUCCCUCUGAUUAACGCUAGGUGGAAAGAUUGGUUUCCUUUCUACGUAGGACAUAAUUGAUACAGUUGUCUGUGUGUCGUUCGAGCUUCUCCAGGAUGACUUUUUUAAUUGAAUUCGGAACAGUCUGUCCGACAACAUCUUAUGAACAUGGUCAAUGGGCAGGAGUUGAUUCUGCAAGCAGGAAGAGUGAUUUCUUAGAUUUAAUAAAAUGUCUAAUAAGCAUGAAGCUGAUGUGAACGCUUAUAUAGAUAGUGUUUUGCAUGCUAAAAUGAUUUU
This is a long non-coding RNA of Lycium ferocissimum, 1348 nucleotides long. RefSeq lists it as uncharacterized. The record is from RefSeq and is a predicted model, not a curated record. Lineage: Eukaryota; Viridiplantae; Streptophyta; Magnoliopsida; Solanales; Solanaceae. The transcript is spliced from 2 exons.